CCUACGGGGGGCAGCAGUGAGGAAUAUUGGUCAAUGGACGAGAGUCUGAACCAGCCAAGUAGCGUGAAGGAUGACUGCCCUAUGGGUUGUAAACUUCUUUUAUAAAGGAAUAAAACGAGGCACGUGUGCCUUUUUGCAUGUACUUUAUGAAUAAGGAUCGGCUAACUCCGUGCCAGCAGCCGCGGUAAUACGGAGGAUCCGAGCGUUAUCCGGAUUUAUUGGGUUUAAAGGGAGCGUAGAUGGGUUGUUAAGUCAGUUGUGAAAUUUUGCGGCUCAACCGUAAAAUUGCAAUUGAUACUGGCAGUCUUGAGUACAGUUGAGGUAGGCGGAAUUCGUGGUGUAGCGGUGAAAUGCUUAGAUAUCACGAAGAACCCCGAUUGCGAAGGCAGCUUACUAAACUGUGACUGACAUUGAUGCUCGAAAGUGUGGGUAUCAAACAGGAUUAGAUACCCGUGUAGUC
This 460-nucleotide ribosomal RNA is filed under the name uncultured bacterium. RNAcentral's name for it is "partial 16S ribosomal RNA". It matches the Rfam family "Bacterial small subunit ribosomal RNA", at positions 338 to 795 of the family's 1533-position model. The record is from RNAcentral.